UGGCCUUGUUUUGUUUGUCUUCUCCUGCUGGGUGUCUGUGGAGACGUGUCCAGGUUGGCGUGCUUUACGUUUUUGCCGUUGCCCUAGGUCGUCAGUCUGCUGCGGUGUGAGCUGACCCUGUUCUGGUUGUGGAUGUCCCCGUGUGGGUGGAUGUAUCUGGGCUGCUGGCGUUGGGUGUCUCGUGUGGGCCGCUGUGUGUGUGCGCGAGGUGGGUUCCUCCGCCGGGGUCUGAGGGCGGCCUGUCCUGUAAUUCGCUGGACCGGGCUGCAGCCUUAUCCAGGCUGCUGUGGGGCUGUCGUGGUGCCACGACUAAUUAAAGGGCCAGUAUUCCCCCGGCGCGUUCUUCCCCCACUAAAGCUGUUCUGGAUUCCGGCAAAAGAGUCCGGUAGAAGUGUUUCUUUUGAGUCCGGUCUUGGGCCUAUCCUGUGUGUCUGACUGACUGACUCCAGGGCUAGCACUGCUACAUCUAGCUAGCUCAAUGGAACACGGAGGACUCCGUUACCAGACGAGACAGCAUUUCGGUGGAAAAAA
This is a long non-coding RNA of Perca fluviatilis (European perch), 531 nucleotides long. RefSeq lists it as uncharacterized. The transcript is spliced from 5 exons. The record is from RefSeq and is a predicted model, not a curated record. NCBI's taxonomy places the organism in Eukaryota, Metazoa, Chordata, Actinopteri, Perciformes, Percidae.